GUUAGACGAACGGUCUGGAAAGUCCGACGAUACAGGGUGAUAGUCCCGUAGUUGACGACGUGUGUUCAGUGAAAUCGAGUAGGGCGGGACACGUGAUAUCCUGUCUGAAUAUGGGGGGACCAUCCUCCAAGGCUAAAUACUACUGACUGACCGAUAGUGAACCAGUACCGUGAGGGAAAGGCGAAAAGAACCCCUGUGAGGGGAGUGAAAUAGAACCUGAAACCGUGUACGUACAAGCAGUAGGAGCAGGCUUUGUCCUGUGACUGCGUACCUUUUGUAUAAUGGGUCAGCGACUUAUAUUCAGUGGCAAGGUUAACCAUCUAGGGGAGCCGUAGGGAAACCGAGUCUUAACUGGGCGUUCAGUCUCUGGAUAUAGACCCGAAACCAGGUGAUCUAGCCAUGGGCAGGUUGAAGGUUGAGUAACAUCAACUGGAGGACCGAACCGACUAAUGUUGAAAAAUUAGCGGAUGACUUGUGGCUAGGGGUGAAAGGCCAAUCAAACCUGGAGAUAGCUGGUUCUCCCCGAAAGCUAUUUAGGUAGCGCCUCGGACGAAUACUACUGGGGGUAGAGCACUGUUAAGGCUAGGGGGUCAUCCCGACUUACCAACCCUUUGCAAACUCCGAAUACCAGUAAGUACUAUCCGGGAGACACACGGCGGGUGCUAACGUCCGUCGUGGAGAGGGAAACAACCCAGACCGCCAGCUAAGGUCCCAAAUUACUACUAAGUGGGAAACGAUGUGGGAAGGCUCAGACAGCCAGGAUGUUGGCUUAGAAGCAGCCAUCAUUUAAAGAAAGCGUAAUAGCUCACUGGUCGAGUCGGCCUGCGCGGAAGAUGUAACGGGGCUAAGUAGUAAACCGAAGCUGCGGCAAUACUCUUUGAGUAUUGGGUAGGGGAGCGUUCUGUAAGCGGUUGAAGGUGUGUGGUAACGCAUGCUGGACGUAUCAGAAGUGCGAAUGCUGACAUGAGUAACGAUAAAGGGGGUGAAAAACCUCCUCGCCGGAAGACCAAGGGUUCCUGUCCAACGUUAAUCGGGGCAGGGUAAGUCGACCCCUAAGGCGAGGCCGAAAGGCGUAGUCGAUGGGAAACGGGUUAAUAUUCCCGUACUUCUUACAAUUGCGAUGGGGGGACGGAGAAGGCUAGGUGGGCCUGGCGACGGUUGUCCAGGUUCAAGUGCGUAGGCUUGAGAGUUAGGUAAAUCCGGCUCUCUUUAAGGCUGAGACACGACGUCGAGCACCUACGGGUGUGAAGUCAUUGAUGCCAUGCUUCCAGGAAAAGCCUCUAAGCUUCAGAUUGUAAGGAAUCGUACCCCAAACCGACACAGGUGGUCGGGUAGAGAAUACCAAGGCGCUUGAGAGAACUCGGGUGAAGGAACUAGGCAAAAUGGUACCGUAACUUCGGGAGAAGGUAC
Molecule: ribosomal RNA, 1410 nt
Filed under: Vibrio parahaemolyticus
Lineage: Bacteria; Pseudomonadati; Pseudomonadota; Gammaproteobacteria; Vibrionales; Vibrionaceae
Description: partial 23S ribosomal RNA
Rfam family: Bacterial large subunit ribosomal RNA
Source: RNAcentral